RNAcentral lists this ribosomal RNA (383 nucleotides) under uncultured bacterium. RNAcentral's name for it is "bacterial SSU rRNA". It matches the Rfam family "Bacterial small subunit ribosomal RNA", at positions 28 to 409 of the family's 1533-position model. The record is from RNAcentral.
GACGAACGCUGGCGGCGUGCUUAACACAUGCAAGUCGAGCGGUAAGGCCCUUUCGGGGGUACGACGAGCGGCGAACGGGUGAGUAACACGUGGGUGACCUGCCCUCCAGCUCUGGGAGUAAGCCUGGGAAACCGGGUCUAAUACUGGAUAUGACUCCAUGACGCAUGUUGUGGGGUGGAAAGCCUUGUGCGGCUGAGGAUGGGCCCGCGGCCUAUCAGCUUGUUGGUGGGGUGANGGCCUACCAAGGCGACGACGGGUAGCCGGCCUGAGAGGGCGACCGGCCACACUGGGACUGAGACACGGCCCAGACUCCUACGGGAGGCAGCAGUGGGGAAUCUUGCGCAAUGGGCGAAAGCCUGACGCAGCGACGCCGCGUGAGGGAU